RNAcentral lists this ribosomal RNA (485 nucleotides) under uncultured bacterium. RNAcentral's name for it is "bacterial SSU rRNA". It matches the Rfam family "Bacterial small subunit ribosomal RNA", at positions 31 to 507 of the family's 1533-position model. The record is from RNAcentral.
GAACGCUGGCGGCAAGCCUUACACAUGCAAGUCGAGCGGUAGCAUUUCUAGCUUGCUAGAAGAUGACGAGCGGCGGACGGGUGAGUAAAGCAUAGGAAUCUGCCAAUAGAGGGGGAUAGCCCGGAGAAAUCCGGAUUAAUACCGCAUACACCCUAUGGAGAAAAAGCAAGGGGAUCUUCGGACCUUGCACUAUUGGAUGAGCCUAUGUCGGAUUAGUUAGUUGGUGGGGUAAAGGCCUACCAAGGCAGCGAUCCGUAGCUGGUCUUAGAGGAUGAUCAGCCACAUCGGGACUGAGACACGGCCCGAACUCCUACGGGAGGCAGCAGUGGGGAAUAUUGCACAAUGGGCGCAAGCCUGAUGCAGCUAUGCCGCGUGUGUGAAGAAGGCCUUAGGGUUGUAAAGCACUUUCAGUAGUGAGGAAAAGUGUUGUGUUAAUAGCGCAAUGCAGUGACGUUAGCUACAGAAAAGGACCGGCAAACUCCGUG